UUAGAGCCCGUUAAUGGGUGAUAGCGUGCCUUUUGUAGAAUGAACCGGCGAGUUACGAUUACGUGCGAGGUUAAGUUGAGAAGACGGAGCCGCAGCGAAAGCGAGUCUGAAUAGGGCGAAAUAGUACGUGGUCGUAGACCCGAAACCAGGUGAUCUACCCAUGUCCAGGAUGAAGGUGAGGUAACACUUACUGGAGGCCCGAACCCACGCACGUUGAAAAGUGCGGGGAUGAGGUGUGGGUAGCGGAGAAAUUCCAAUCGAACUUGGAGAUAGCUGGUUCUCUCCGAAAUAG
This 292-nucleotide ribosomal RNA is filed under the name Klebsiella pneumoniae. Its description in RNAcentral is "partial 23S ribosomal RNA". It matches the Rfam family "Bacterial large subunit ribosomal RNA", at positions 574 to 867 of the family's 2925-position model. The record is from RNAcentral. Lineage: Bacteria; Pseudomonadati; Pseudomonadota; Gammaproteobacteria; Enterobacterales; Enterobacteriaceae.